Molecule: ribosomal RNA, 2177 nt
Filed under: Pseudomonadota bacterium
Lineage: Bacteria; Pseudomonadati; Pseudomonadota
Description: Proteobacteria bacterium (marine metagenome) partial 23S ribosomal RNA
Rfam family: Bacterial large subunit ribosomal RNA
Source: RNAcentral
UAAGAGCAUAUGGUGGAUGCCUUGGCGAAUAGAGGCGAUGAAGGACGUGUUACGCUGCGAUAAGCGUCGGUUAGCUGCGAAAAAGCUUUGAUCCGACGAUUUCCGAAUGGGGAAACCCGGCUAUUUAUAGUCAUCUUUAACUGAAUACAUAGGUUAGGGAAGCGAACUCAGGGAACUGAAACAUCUAAGUACCUGAAGGAAAGGACAUCAACCGAGACUCCGUUAGUAGUGGCGAGCGAACGCGGACCAGGCCAGUGGCCGGUUAAGAAAAAUUAGAAUGCAAUGGAAAGUGCAACCAUAGUGGGUGAUAGUCCCGUAUAAGUAACUUCUUUUCCGGUCCUCGAGUAGGGCGGAACACGUGAAAUUCUGUCUGAACAUGGGGGGACCACCCUCCAAGCCUAAGUACUCCUAUUCGACCGAUAGUGAACAAGUACCGUGAGGGAAAGGUGAAAAGCACCCCGAUAAGGGGAGUGAAAUAGAUCCUGAAACCGUAUGCUUACAAUCAGUGGGAGCACCUAUAUGGUGUGACCGCGUACCUUUUGUAUAAUGGGCCAACGACUUAAUUUAUCAUGCAAGCUUAAGCCGAUAGGUGUAGGCGAAGCGAAAGCGAGUCUUAAUAGGGCGAUUUAGUAUGAUGUAUUAGACCCGAAACCGAGUGAUCUAGUUAUGGGCAGGUUGAAGGUGCAGUAACAUGCACUGGAGGACCGAACCCACUUAUGUUGAAAAAUGAGGGGAUGACCUGUGACUAGGGGUGAAAGGCCAAUCAAACUCGGAGAUAGCUGGUUCUCCGCGAAAUCUAUUUAGGUAGAGCGUCGGAUCAAUACCAACGGGGGUAGAGCACUGGAUGGAUGCGGGGGACGCGAGUCUUACCAAUUCUAACCAAACUCCGAAUACCGUUGAGUAAUAUCCGGCAGACACACUACGGGUGCUAAGGUCCGUAGUGGAGAGGGAAACAGCCCUGACCGACAGCUAAGGUCCCAAAGUCAUGUCUAAGUGGGAAAGCAUGUGAGAAGGCCAAAACAACCAGGAGGUUGGCUUAGAAGCAGCCACCCUUUAAAGAAAGCGUAACAGCUCACUGGUCUAAUAGCCAUCUUGCGGCGAAGAUGUAACGGGGCUAAAGACAUGCACCGAAGCUUCGGAUUCAAUACUAUGUAUUGAGUGGUAGCGGAGCGUUCUGUAAGCCUGUGAAGGGUUAUCCGCGAGGAGACCUGGAGGUAUCAGAAGCGCGAAUGUUGGCAUGAGUAACGAUAAAGAGUGUGAGAGACACUCUCGCCGAAAAUCCAAGGGUUCCUGCGUUAAGCUAAUCUACGCAGGGUUAGCCGGUCCCUAAGGCAAGGCCGAAAGGCGUAGUCGAUGGGAACUCAGUUUAAUAUUACUGGGCCAGAUGAGAAGUGACGGAUGGUGUAAGUUGUUCCUCCUUAAUGGAUUGGAGGGGCUGCGAAACUGUCCCAGGAAAUAGCCUCAUCAUUAAUGACCGUACCCCAAACCGACACAGGUGGAUAGGUAGAGAAUACCAAGGCGCUUGAGAGAACGAUGUUGAAGGAACUCGGCAAAUUGCCUCCGUAACUUCGGGAGAAGGAGGCCCUCAUAGAAGGCAACUUUUAUGAGGGGGCACAGACCAGGGGGUGGCGACUGUUUACUAAAAACACAGGACUCUGCAAAGUCGAAAGACGAAGUAUAGGGUCUGACGCCUGCCCGGUGCCGGAAGGUUAAGAGGAGUGGUUAGCUUCGGCGAAGCCAUGAAUUGAAGCCCCGGUAAACGGCGGCCGUAACUAUAACGGUCCUAAGGUAGCGAAAUUCCUUGUCGGGUAAGUUCCGACCUGCACGAAUGGCGUAACGACUUCCGCACUGUCUCAACCAGAGACUCAGCGAAAUUGAAUUCUCGGUGAAGAUGCCGAGUACCCGUGGCAAGACGGAAAGACCCCGUGAACCUUCACUACAGCUUGACACUGACUCUUGGGCAAUUUUGUGUAGCAUAGGUGGGAGACUGUGAGAUCUGGGCGCUAGCUUGGAUGGAGUCGCCGUUGAAAUACCACCCUGAAUUGUCUGAGUGUCUAACCGUGGCCCGUUAUCCGGGUCCGGGAAACUGUCUGGUGGGUAGUUUGACUGGGGCGGUCGCCUCCUAAAGCGUAACGGAGGCGCGCGAAGGUUCCCUCAGACUGAUUGGAAACCAGUCG